RNAcentral lists this ribosomal RNA (859 nucleotides) under uncultured bacterium. RNAcentral's name for it is "bacterial SSU rRNA". It matches the Rfam family "Bacterial small subunit ribosomal RNA", at positions 60 to 950 of the family's 1533-position model. The record is from RNAcentral.
AGUCGACGAUGAAUCUUCUAGCUUGCUAGAAGUGGAUUAGUGGCGCACGGGUGAGUAAUGCAUAGGUUAUGUGCCCUUUAGUCUGGGAUAGCCACUGGAAACGGUGAUUAAUACUGGAUACUCCCUACGGGGGAAAGUUUUUCGCUAAAGGAUCAGCCUAUGUCCUAUCAGCUUGUUGGUGAGGUAAUGGCUCACCAAGGCUAUGACGGGUAUCCGGCCUGAGAGGGUGAUCGGACACACUGGAACUGAGACACGGUCCAGACUCCUACGGGAGGCAGCAGUAGGGAAUAUUGCUCAAUGGGGGAAACCCUGAAGCAGCAACGCCGCGUGGAGGAUGAAGGUUUUAGGAUUGUAAACUCCUUUUGUUAGAGAAGAUUAUGACGGUAUCUAACGAAUAAGCACCGGCUAACUCCGUGCCAGCAGCCGCGGUAAUACGGAGGGUGCAAGCGUUACUCGGAAUCACUGGGCGUAAAGAGUGCGUAGGCGGGGUAAUAAGUCAGAUGUGAAAUCCUGUAGCUUAGCUACAGAACUGCAUUUGAAACUGUUACUCUGGAGUGUGGGAGAGGUAGGUGGAAUUCUUGGUGUAGGGGUAAAAUCCGUAGAGAUCAAGAGGAAUACUCAUUGCGAAGGCGACCUGCUGGAACAUUACUGACGCUGAUGCACGAAAGCGUGGGGAGCAAACAGGAUUAGAUACCCUGGUAGUCCACGCCCUAAACGAUGGAUGCUAGUUGUUGCCUUGCUUGUCAGGGCAGUAAUGCAGCUAACGCAUUAAGCAUCCCGCCUGGGGAGUACGGUCGCAAGAUUAAAACUCAAAGGAAUAGACGGGGACCCGCACAAGCGGUGGAGCAUGUGGUUUAAU